CCCCCCCCCCCCCCCCCCCCCCGGCCCCGACUCCCUGCACCUCCUGAUCCAGGUGUCCGUAGAGGCCAGGACGGAACCUUCGUGGUCGCGCGGCUCCCCCUCCUCCUCCUCCCCGGCCCAAGGGCCACUUACAGGCAACGCGGGGGAGGCGACUGGCGCUCCCCUUCCCAUAAAACGUCCUCCAUGUGCCCGAGAUGUGCACAGCAGGGAACAAGUGUGCCUCGAAUGGGGCCUUAAGUCGGUCUGAUUUUAGGACAAUGGGGACAUUUACACAGACCUCCUCCCAGUGAGUCAAGUGCCAGGUGAGGGGAAGCCAAGGAGCCAUCCCGAGAACUGAGCUCCGGGGAAGAGGCGACAGGAUGGACACACGCACGGAAACCUGGUAACAGCCCGGGCGAUGCAGGAUCCGUAGGGAAGAGGCAGGAAACCUGCGGGGCCUGGGGAGCAAAGGGCUUGGGAGUUACCCCGCUGCAGCCAGAGAAGGCCUCCUGCAGACUCGGGCCCAACUCCACCUACAGAAGUGUUUUCCAAGUAAUCUCUCCCGUAAUAACAUCCUGUAUCUUAUUUUGAGUUCUAGAAUCCCACCGUGGCUUGGCAGUGAGCUUUAAGCCUAGCCACCCCAAGUCUCCUAUGUCCUCAGUAUUGAGAAAAAAGUCUCCAUGCUGAAUAUGCUUUUUAUUCAGUUUUUUUUGAAAAGUUAAUGAAUUCAGGGGAAUGAAGAUAGAUGUUAGAAAUAAAACCAUGGGUAUCUCUAAGAAAAUCAUCAAAUGUAAAUGAUUCCUUCUUUGUCGGGUCUUAUAAAAAUAGGGGAUACUUAAGCACACUGAAGUUUUAAAGUCACUGGAUUAUAUUGUACAAAGGUAUUUUUGGCCCUUUAAAAGGUUAUUUUCCUACAUGAAGAAAAGUUUUCUUAUAUAAAAACUUACUGCAACUCAGGUUUUGUGUCUCUGUAGAGAGGCACGUAUAUAGGUGUUUUUCUUUGUGCACUUGGUUUUUGCACAGGUAAAUGAGGUUAAACAUUGCCCAGGUAUGCAGGUCAACUGACUUCUGUGGUAGCUGGAUUAAGGAAAGCUUUUGGUGAAUGGACAAAAGAAAUCACAGGCUAUUUCUUUGUAUCUUUCUCUCUUCCCCAGCACUCUACCAGAGAACAUCUCUUAUUGAGUCAGGAAAUCCUAAUUUUUUGGAAAGUCCACAGGAAAACCAAGUUGCAAGUCUCAGGCUGAUAAGAACAUAAAGCAGUUCCCAUGUUUGUUAGGAUGGUUAAUGUAGUUUCAGAGUAUAAUGCUGAAAUAAAUUUUAGACUCCAUACCUGUAGUCUUUCCACUCUUAUUGGUCUUGAAUGUGGGAAAGGCAUCCGUUCAGGGCAGUGAGUGAUGUUGAAUGUUAAGUUCUAUUCCAGGAAAUGUGAUUUUAGCUUUGAUGACGCCUAGUGUCAAUGGAAUGCAAUAAAUGUUUUAUACUGCGUUACGAUGUUUAGGUAUUUUCCUUUAACAUCCUCAGCUGCAUUUUUCUCCUUAAAAACACAAGCCUUACUGUUUUCUUUUGGCAGUGAAGAGAAAGAUAAUUGAUAGGCAGGUAAGCUGUCUCAAAUCCGGGCAAGUUGCUCUUCGUACUGUGUACAGAAAGGACUAAAUGAAGCUUAAGGUCAAUGGCAUGUGAAGGAGCGACUUUUUCCGAGUUAAAAACUCAGAGUAUAAGACCAUAAUGACCUUGAAAGCUGCUUCAUUUUAUGUGCAAAGGAGUCCUAUGAAUCUAUAUUUUAAAUUUACUGAAUCAGUGAAAUUAAUCACUUUGUCAGUUAAUUUGCAAAUGCAAGCUGUAUUCUCCAGUUUCUUUUAUGUAUUGACACUAAUUGGUAAAGGUGUACAAUGUGAUUAGAAUGCAUUUGAAAAUGCUUUCUGUACAGAUACAAAAUACAGGGACUACAAUAAUGCUGUGCAGUGUAUAGCAGAGCCAUUUUUCGGCUUUGGUGUACUCAACUUUUUCAGUAUUUAAAAACGUGUUUUGAAUAACCUAAAAGUCUCUUUAUUGUAUAAAUAAUAAAAUGUCACCUUAUUGUAAA
Molecule: long non-coding RNA, 2062 nt
Organism: Canis lupus familiaris (dog)
Lineage: Eukaryota; Metazoa; Chordata; Mammalia; Carnivora; Canidae
Exons: 2
Source: RefSeq, a predicted model, not a curated record